CCUACGUGGUGCAGCAGUGAGGAAUAUUGGUCAAUUGCCGUAAGGCUGAACCAGCCAAUUCGCGUGAAGGAAGCAGGAUCUCUGUUUUGUAAACUUCUUUUAUAGGGGAAUCAAGGUAUCCACGUGUGGAUAUUUGCAUGUACCCUAUGAAUAAGCAUCGGCUAACUCCGUGCCAGCAGCCGCGGUAAUACGGAGGAUGCUAGCGUUAUCCGGAUUUAUUGGGUUUAACGGGUUCGUAGGUUUUUUUUUAAGUCAGCGGUGAAAGUUUGUGGCUCAACCAUAAAAUUGCCGUUGAAACUGGAAGACUUGAGUGUGUUUGAGGUAGGCGGAAUGCGUGGUGUAGCGGUGAAAUGCAUAGAUAUCACGCAGAACUCCGAUUGCGAAGGCAACUUACUAAGCCAUAACUGACACUGAAGCACGAAAGCAUGGGGAUCAAACAGGAUUAGAUACCCCAGUAGUC
Molecule: ribosomal RNA, 460 nt
Filed under: uncultured bacterium
Lineage: Bacteria
Description: partial 16S ribosomal RNA
Rfam family: Bacterial small subunit ribosomal RNA
Source: RNAcentral